CUCGGUACGUGUUUGUUAUUGUCAAUAAUAUCUUUAAAUUGUACAACUCGCUUAUGUUUGACAAUUACUGAGUAAUUGCUUUGCUUAUUGCAUGCUAAUUGCUGAAAAUUGCUUUUUAUUUUAAAUUCCUUAGUUAAAAAUUGCUUUUUCUUUCACAUUUCUCUGCUUAUUGAAUGACUAUUGCUAACUCAUUAGAUAGAACCUACUUCUCAUAUAAGUAGGUGGAUGCGGCCUCGAUUAGCGGGGGAACCACAUGAAAAAAAGCGAGCUACUGGGUGUACCUCCUGGGUAGUUUGGAAAUCACCUAAAAUAUAUAUGUAUAUAUUUAUAAAUAAAAGUUAAUAUAUAUAAAUUAACAUUAUUAUUUUUUAACAGGAAAUGCACAAUGCUAAAAACUGCGUAGGAGAUUUUAAUACAAUAGUACUACCAAGCCUGAUGUUGGCCGCUAUUUCAAUGAAUGCAGCAAUGUGACAGCUAGCAAUCAAAAGUAACAAGAUAUCGAGGAAAUGCAGAUGGCAAUAAACUGUGUAGGAGUUCAUGAUUGCAAUAGAAUAAAAUCGACCAAGCCUGAAGUCAGCAGCCCCUUCAAUGAAUGCAGCAGUGUGACAGCCAGCAAUCAAAAGUUACAAGAUAUCGAGGAAAUGCAGAAGGCAAAAAACUGCGUAGGAGAUCAUUAAUACAAAAGUAUUAUAUAAACCAAACCUGAUGUUGCCAGCUCCUUCAAUGAAUGCAGCAGUGUGACAGCCAACAAUCAAAAGUAACAAGAUAUCGAGGAAAUGCAGAAGGCAAAAAACUGCGUAGGAGAUCAUUAAUACAAUAGUAUUAUAUAAACCAAGCCUGAUGUUGGCCGCUCAUUCAAAGAAUGCAGCAGUGUGACAGCCAGCAAUCAAAAGUAACAAGAUGUCGAGGAAAUGCAGAGUGUAAUAAACUGUGUAGGAGAUUAUGAUUGCAAUAGAAUAAAAUCGACCAAGCCUGAAGUCCUUCAAUGCACGCAGCAGUGUGACAGCCAGCAAUCAAAAGUUACAAGAUAUCGAGGAAAUACAGAAGGCAAAGAAGCAGAUGUCAUCAAAGAAGAUCUUUGUUCCUGCAAUGUUUCCGCAGACGAUACAUCCAACAGAGCGAAGUGGAAGGAAAAGACUCGGAAUAAAGACCCCACCACCAUAUGGGAACAAUGCAAGGGAGAGAGAGAGAAUAUAAUGUUAUAUUUUUAUUUUUUGAUAACAUAAAAUAA
RNAcentral lists this long non-coding RNA (1231 nucleotides) under Pectinophora gossypiella (pink bollworm). RNAcentral's name for it is "uncharacterized LOC126375353". Lineage: Eukaryota; Metazoa; Arthropoda; Insecta; Lepidoptera; Gelechiidae. The record is from RNAcentral.